RNAcentral lists this ribosomal RNA (325 nucleotides) under uncultured eukaryote. Its description in RNAcentral is "partial 18S ribosomal RNA". It matches the Rfam family "Eukaryotic small subunit ribosomal RNA", at positions 1470 to 1796 of the family's 1831-position model. The record is from RNAcentral.
CCCUUAGAUGUUCUGGGCCGCACGCGCGCUACACUGAUGCAUUCAACGAGCCUAUCCUUGACCGACAGGUCCGGGUAAUCUUUGAAUCUGCAUCGUGACGGGGAUAGAUUAUUGCAAUUAUUAAUCUUCAACGAGGAAUGCCUAGUAGGCGCAAGUCAUCAGCUUGCGUCGAUUACGUCCCUGCCCUUUGUACACACCGCCCGUCGCUCCUCCCGAUUGGGUGUGCUGGUGAAAUGUUCGGAUCGGCCGUUUGUCGCGGUUUCCGCGUCAUGUGGCUGAGAAGUUCAUUAAACCCUCCCACCUAGAGGAAGGAGAAGUCGUAACA